Scylla paramamosain (green mud crab) is the source of this 9149-nucleotide long non-coding RNA. RefSeq lists it as uncharacterized. The record is from RefSeq and is a predicted model, not a curated record. The transcript has 2 exons. NCBI's taxonomy places the organism in Eukaryota, Metazoa, Arthropoda, Malacostraca, Decapoda, Portunidae.
GAUGACAAUUUUUUAUUUAUUUAUUUAUUUAUUUUUUAUUUACAGAUCCGUAUCUUUGAUAAUGUAGCGGCCAGGCAGAGUACAUUUAGUAAUCAACGUUGAAGUAUUUCCCGGUGGAAGGAUGAUGGAUGAGCUGAGCUGAAAGAGAACAGGAAUGAAUAAGGGUCUGCGCAAGAAACAAAGCAAAAGGGGGAAUACAUUUUAGGUAAAGGUGUACUAAAUUAGCCAGAGCAGUGAAGAAAAAAGAUACCCUAUACAGGAAAAAGAAUUAUGAGAUAAGGGACGCAGGGGAAGGUAAAUGGAAUCUGAGGGUGUUCUUGCAGGUGUUCAGGACAGAAGGUGAAGACAGAGUGCUCGGUUUUAGAUAGCGAAUGGGAAAGUGAAAAAGAGCAUUCAACAGUAGUAUUGUAUUACUGAGUUAGUAGAUUCUCUUAACUGGUCUAAAGCCAACAUCUUAGUGUGUGUGUGUGUGUGUGUGUGUGAUUAUAAACUGUUUGCCGUAAGGGAUCCGGAAGCGUGCGGUCAGAAUCUUGGCGGCCUAGGGGGCGACGAAGGCCUGGUCUCGGGUGACGGCGCCGCUCAGUAGGCUACCUGUGUCAUUAGCUGGAAUGGGAAGGAACCUUUAACCCGGAACACACCUGCUUGACUAAUGAGGCGAAGUUAGUGCGCUGGUGGUAAGCUGGAAAUAAUAGGAAAAAGAAACUGCUGCCUCCCAUGAAAAUAAGUCCCAAAAAAACCAAGACAAGCCAACAGUCAUCCAGGCUUCAUCAGCCAAGGGAAGCCAACAUGCACCAGAGCCCUGAUCAGCCGAAGAGAGCGAAAACAAUGUCGACACCUUUAUCCUCUCCCUCACGUGGAAUCCCAGAGGUCGCUGAGAGGCAAAUCAAUGCUUGUUCUGCCAACAUUCGUCAGUCUCUCCCUUUCCUUGUCAUCUUAAACCUCUCGGCGUGUCCCUCUCCUCCUCGCCCCUCCAGAUGUACUUGAAACAGUCGGACGCCCUUCUCAUCACCGCAACAUUAGACGGUUCCUAGUCCCAUUAACCUGCUGAUGAGACUCUGCAGAUCUCUACUUAGAACUUAUCGACUGAGGAGUUGCUCUUUGGUCUCCCCUUCGCCUGAAUUAACCAGCCCUUGUCUCAGUUAAGUACCAUUACUUCAGCGCCAAGCUCGAUGCGUGAUUCCGUUAUUUUUCGUUCCUCAGGCACGACUUGCAUGCGUGGCCAGCUCGGCAAGGUGAUGCCACUCUCUGUGUCUUGCUGUAUUGACCACUUUGGCUUCUGUAACAGCUUACUGCAAUACUUUCAUGUGUCUCACUAUCAUUACUUCACCAGUACUUUCGAUCACACACACACACACACACACACACACACACACACACACACACACAGAGAGAGAGAGAGAGAGAGAGAGAGAGAGAGAGAGAGAGAGAGAGAGAGAGAGAGAGAGAGAGAGAGAGAGAGAGAGAAUACAAUUUUUCUCUGCCUGGAUCGGAAUCGUGAUUGGUUGCCCCGUAUCCUGGUCUCGGUGGUGUCAGUGGCUGUGCUUGGCAGGAAACCCUAACAUUUACCCCGUGAUGGCCUCCUAUAUGUAAUGAAGGCUUGGGAGGAAGUCGCUGAAUUGGCUGUGUGGCGUGUGGUGUGGCGUGGCGUGGCGUGGGAGGCGGGAGGUGGAGGAGCGCGACCUGACAGGAUGUGGGCCGGUCGAGAGUUGGUCUUUGUUGAUAUUGUGCGAGUAUCAUAUUCCCAGUGAACCAUUGUGACGUGAGAUUGGAAUAUGAUAGUCUCAAUGUGUCAAGAGGAUCGUAUUGAUAAAAGAAAAACAUUUAUAGUAAGGAUAAUGGUGAAAUGUAUUGCUCCUUCCAUGAUGCACAAAGUGCUUGAGAGGAAUGCUUGUAUUCUUCCUUUCAUGAGUCAUCAAGAGGAAUGGCGCCCAGGCAGGAUUGGAAGACGAGUGCAGCCAUUGCGCCAAUAGGACAUGGCUGACAGGAUGUGAGAGAACACAAAUUCAUACUAACGAAUGAAAGGCUGUUCAUGAGAGCCAAAUGCUUCAUCGUGCGCGCGCGUGUUUGUACCAGCAGUUGCUCCUACUUGUGUCUGUCUAUGAAAAUCCAUCCGUUGGAGCUGAUGGCGCCCCGCAGAGCUCAAUGUUUUAUAGACACAAAAACACUGUGGCUGCACGCACGGUAGGCGCUGCUGAACACGAGACAGGAAGCCUCGUCCUGCCGUUGCCUGCGUGCGCUCGUCGGCCACACAAUGUGCCUGGAAACGCGAGCAGAGCGUGGCCCUUGACCGGCAGCGGCUCGGCCUUUAUAUAUGCCGUAUGCAUAUUCCUCGGCCGCUCCCGUCAUUGGUUCCCUCUUGUGCUCCGUCUCGUCUGAGCUUCGCUAUUUUGGCUCCCUCCAGACAGUCGGUUCUUCCCUUCCCCGUCCUGCCUGAUCGCCGCCGCGACUCGCGAUGCCAGCGCCUGACUGACGGGAGAAAUGCGCGUGAGUUAUGCUGCAAUUCAGGAGACUUGAAGGAGAGGAGCAGACUCGCAAUAAAACUUACGAAAGAUUGUCCCGGCCUCCCCAGCCUCGCAGACCAACAAGUGUCUGCCGCCGCCUUCUGAUUUUCGCCCAAUUGAAGCUUGAGACCGAGCAAGCGGCUCGUCAGGAUCACGCCAAUCCCUUGUCUCCAGGGACAGCAGGUCAGGGCCACGUCAGUCCCGCGUUCCCUGGGACAAGAGGUUAGUGCCACGCAGCCUGGCGUCCCCAGGGACAGGUGGUCAGGGCCACCGCUGGGACAGGGACAGGAAGUGAAGGCCAGGGUGUCUUCAGGGACAGGAGGCCGCCCACGCCGGGAAGCGCGGCUCUUUUUCUCACGCCAGCACGAGGAGGUCACUGUUGCAUGGUGAACCAGUCAGGACAAGUUGUGUGCGGAGGGGAAGGCGCGACCCCUGUGUGUUUGUGUGUUUGUUUGGGGAACUUUGCAUAUUUAUUAAAGGAUCACCGGGGAGGCUUUGCGGUGAAUAGAGCACCACGACUCACUGCAGUCCUUCAGCAAUUAGAUGGAUGUUCUGUGGCGCCGCUGCUGCCUUGAGAGGGAAAAUGUUAUUAGUAAUGGCUGCUUAAUGUGAACCAUUAGAUUUCUCUCUCUCUCUCUCUCUAUUUUUCUCUCGUAACGUGAACACUCCUUGUGAACGGCUCCACAAAAGACGCUGAUAUUUGAAGGGAAGACUAGUCCUACAGCCCUGUAUUGGAACUGAAUUGCCUAUAAAGGUGAGGGGAAGUGAAUAGUGAAGUAUGUGAAUGCCGAACUUGCUGAAUGAUAGACUUUUUAUAAGAGAAAUUACAUACACCUCUAUAUCACCCCCUCCUGGCCUGUGCAAGUAGAAACCACGCAUGCGCAGAUCGUUUACUAGCAGACGACACUACACUGCCCACAAUCCCUGCUCUCUGGUUGUUGUCUCCCCCAGCACUUAAGCCCCAGCACCUAGGUCAUAAAGUGCGUAACAAAGUGAACAUGACAACCUAUGAAGAUCCAGCUACUGUUAGAGCGUUGGCUCCAACAGAUAUAAAUAAAAUGACAAACCCACAACUAAAGAGAGCGCUUGCAACUCUACUAACAGCUGAUGCCUCUACACAAUCAUCUAAUAAUGAUCUAUUGGAGGAAAUAAGAAGCUUAAAAGAGGAAGUGAAAGGCAUGGCCAGCAUUAAACAAGAAGUGGAGCAGUUGUCUGAUAAGUUGGACCAAGCAUUCCAGAUUAUUUCACAAAAACAGUUAUUUUUAGAAUCUUUGGACAACAAGGAGAGGAAGAGAAAUUUAGUUAUUACUGGGUUGACAGAAGAGAGCGAUGUAACAGGGUGCAACGAUGCUGAGAAAGUACGCAAUGUGAUAGCAGCGACUGGAUAUCAGCAAAACGUUGAUCCUGCAGCGUGGGAAAUCAAACGACUCGGAAAAGAGGACCAGCGUAGGAAACGACCGCUUCUUGUCGUGGUGGGAGACGGAAAUCAACGUAAUGAGAUCGUGAGGAUGGCAAAGAACUUGAAAUCAGUUGAAGGACCUCUCUCUUCUGUGUAUGUCAAGAAGGAUGUCCACCCGGCAGUGAGGAAGGAGAUGGCGCGGUUGAGGCAACGUGAAAGAGAAGAAAAAGAAAAGCCAGGAAAUGUGGGUGUGUCUAUUAGUUAUGAUUGGAAAAGACGUGUGUUGUUAAGGGAUGGCAAUGUAAUCGAUAAGUUUUCACCAUAUUUUUUUCUGAAUACAAAGAAAAAUACCAGUGUGUUGAAAUUAUGUUCAUGGAAUGUAUGUGGAGUAAGGGAAAAAUUGAAUGAUCCGGAAAUUCUUAAGUUCUUAAUGCAAUAUGAUCUGGUUUGGCUGUUAGAGGUUAAAAGUGCGUAUGAAAAAAGUGUACCUGGUUUCUAUAUGUAUAACAAUAAGUCAAGAGUAGGCUGUAACAGAGGUGGUGUUAUGUUGCUCAUCAAAUGUGCGUCGAUGCAAUAUGUGACCAAUGUAAACAUGGAGGAAGAUGACAUGAUAUGGGUGAAUUUAUCGGUGUGUAAAGAUGUGAAAUUCGGUGGUGUUUAUAUACCUCCAGAAGACUCACUAUAUUGCGAAGCUUCACCGUUUCGAGCGUUAAGUGAGAUGUGUUUGAACACUCGUGACGUAGUUGUUUUAGGUGAUUUUAAUGCACGAGUUGGAUCACAUGUGUUGUCGUGUGGUGAUGGAAGUGUCUAUAGAUAUGAUGGUGUGAAGGAUCCGGUAGUGAAUAGUCACGGGCGUAUGUUGCGUAACAUGUGUAGAAGUAACAAUAUGGUUGUGAUGAAUCACCUGAACAGAAAAGGAACUACCUUAGGAGGUGACUUAUCUUUUAGAAGAGGAUCAAGAUGGACAUCGGAGAUUGACUUGUGCGUGGUUACUUCCGAUUGCGUAAGAUUUGUCAGUUCGGUCGAGGUAAACAAGUCAGUUAAAGGUUCCGACCACGCCCCAAUUUGCGUAGAUCUCGCUACUAAAGAAAUGACUCAAGUUUCCCCGACAGAGCUGUUAGAGCGAGCUAACGGUCUGGGUGAGUCAUACCGAAGAAUACGUACAAACGAGUCGAUGUGGAAAAGUAAACUUACAUGAUUUCAGUACCGAAUUGCUAAGUCUCGAUCCACCGAAUCCGGACGCUGUUAGUAUUGAAAAUAUUUCUGAAGCCUUCAGAUCGAGCAGUGAAAUUAUUCAUGAAGCUGCUCGUAGGAACAGAUGUGAACGUCUCGACCAGCAGGAAGAAACGUGGGACAGAAUGUUGCCGCGCUGGAGAAGGAUAUUAGAAACAAAUGAUGCUAAGUUCAUAUGGAAGGCCAUUAACUGGUCAGGGAAUAUUGAUACGCACGAACACAGACAACCUGAAGACGAUCAACUAAAGACCCAUUUCGAGAGCUUGUUAAAUAAUGAGUGUCACACUAAUAGUAUUCGCACUGUAUGUAUAGAUGACUCGACUCCAACGAUACCCGUAUUAGACGAACCUUUCACUGUACAAGAAUUAGAUAAAGUACUCAAGGAUGUGAAUGUUAGAAAAAGUUAUGUUGGUAUUUGUCCAGGAAUUAUGAGAGCUUUACCUGUUAACUGGAUCAUGUUCUUUUUACAUAUGUUUAACGUUGUUUUUCUUAAUGUGUGUUAUCCAGUUUCAUGGGGUUGUAGCAAACUUUUUGUACUCUUCAAAGGAGGUAAAGACAGACUUGAAUGUGGAAACUACAGAGGCAUAUCCAUUAUGAAUACAUUGGCAAAAUUGUAUGAUUACUUAAUUUUGAACAGAUUAAAACUAUGGACAAGUAUUGAUAAAUGUCAAGCAGGUGCUCAAAGCGGUCGAGGAUGUGUCGAACAAAUAAUGACGUUAAGAUUAUAUUAUGUGACCUGGCUAAUUAUAAGAAAAAGAAGCUGUAUAUGUUAUUCAUAGAUUACAGCAAAGCAUAUGAUAGAGUGCCUCGAGGUAAAUUGCUUGAAUUGCUUAAAUCACGUGGUUGUGGUAAGGUUAUGUUGCGUGCUAUACAAGCUAUGUAUUCCUGUACUCAAAGUGUGUUACGUUCUGCAACUAUUGAUGCCACUGUUGGAGUCCGCCAAGGAUCUCCAUCGAGUUGUCUCUUAUUCACCACAUACAUGGAUGAGGUGGUUAGGAUGAUAAACAGGUGUGUAGAUACAGAUGGAUUCUUGGGGAAACUACAUACGCUCCUUCUUAUGGAUGACAUGGUAAUACUAGCUACUUCUAAAGAAAUGUGUGUGAGAAAGUUAACCGCAGUGUUGGAUUAUUGCCAAGAAUAUGGAAUGAUACUUAAUGAAAAGAAAACAAAACUUAUGGUAGUGCGAGGUACAGAUGAAGACAGAUUGCCGUUAACUGUUCGUAACAUCAAGAUAGACUGUGUUCAUAAGUAUCUUUACCUUGGGGCAUGGAUUUGUGAUGAUGCAAAGAUGAACACAGUAUUGGACCUUCACGAAACCGUGAAUGAGAUGCAACUCAAUAAAUUUGCAAUUUUUUGUGCAGCAAAUAACAUUAUGCCAUAUACAUACAAGCGCAAAGUAUUUGAUGCUGCUGUCACUUCUGCCCUUCUUUAUAGCUCAGAAACAUGGUUGACAAAUAAUCCUAGAAAGAUAAUUGUUCAAUACAAUAGAGCAGUAAAGAACUUGCUAGGGGUAAGGAAAUUUACAAGCCCCGACAUGUGUCUUAUUGAAUCAGGUAUUCCACCUGUACUUGAUGUCAUAGCAAAAAGGAGAAGGAAAUUUCUAGAAUCAAAGUUAAGGGAACCGAACGUUGAAGAACCAUUCUAUGUUGCAUUUGAGUUGUGUAGAGUAGCUAAUACUCCAGGGUAUCAAUUUGUGAUGAAGGCACUACAGUAUAGAGAUAACGUAAAUCCACUGGAUAUAGUCAAAAUAAAAAUUAGAGAAAAACCCGAGACGGCAUCUAAGUAUGUGGCGUACAGAUCAGUAAUUAACCCUGAACUAUCAGUACAUCCAGUUUAUGUCAGCAAUGAGUUUGUCCCGGACUACAAAAGGCAGGCCCUUACGAGGCUUCGACUAAUGUCACAUGAUUUAAAAAUUGAGACAGGUAGAAGGAAUGGAAUACCAGCAGAGUUGCGACUGUGUAUGUGUGAUAGUAAUGCAGUACAAGAUGAGUCUCAUGUUUUGUUAAAUUGUUCUUUGUCAAGGGACUGUAGGGCUAGAUAUAAUAUGUUGGAUUUUAGUAGUUUUACCAGUUUAAUGAAGUAUAAGGGUAAAUUAGGUACUUUAUGUGAUUAUGUUUGCGAUGUGUUAAAGCUUUACGGCUAAAAUGUUCUUGUUUUUUUAAAAGAAAGGGAGUUUGAAUUUUUUAUUAGGCACUUUAUGUGAUUAUGUUUGCGAUGUGUUAAAGCUUUACGGCUAAAAUGUUCUUGUUUUUUAAAAGAAAGGGAGUUUGAAUUUUUUUUAGGAGUUAAGUUUGGAGAAAGUUUGUUUUUUGCAAUGUGAAUUGGUUAAUUUUAUCUGGACAGGAUUUUUAUUUGUAGCUCUUUUUUAUAUGAUAUAAUGAUUUUAGUGAAAUGAUUUUUACUUUAAGCUCCUUGUAAUCGCAAAAUUCUGUCAAUAAACUAUAAUAAUAAUAAUCUCUCUCUCUCAGUCGCGAGGGACUACCGCCCGUCACCACUUUUGAACUUUAAUACCUAAACUUUUUAAUUCUGAGACGCUCCUCCGGCGGUGCGUCGUGACGAAAAGUUGCGAACAUUAUUUUUGCAGAGUUUAGCUGCCGCCUUUACAUUUCGUUACGUCUUCCUCUCGGUCAUUGAGUGGCAUCCCUUUAGACACCUGUGGCGGAGAUGACGCGGGCAACACGACAUGGUUAUAGAAGUUUUCCUUCACGCAUUGCUUCCAACUCCCGAAUUUAGUUAUAGUGAGGCUGAGGUGGCGCUGGUAGCGGCUGAGUACUUGCCUUUCUAACCUAAGUGAUACCAGAGUUCGUCCUCUUUAAGUUUGAAAUAGUCAAACAUAUCAAUAUUUAAUAUCGAGUUUCUUACAAAUAUAUACAUUUUUCAAGGUUCGUCCAUCUACAUUCACUUGAGUAUUACAUGUAUUUCAAAAAGACUUCCCUCAAAUACGUAUCUACUAAACUAUUCAGGAUGCAAUGCGCGUAGUUUCACGGAUUCUCUGACUUUAGAAAAUAUUUUACUGUGAAUAAAAAAUCUUGCUCACAGAUAUACCGUUGUCAGAUUCGUUAUGGUGUGCGGAGAUGGCCGGAUAUGUGGUGGUGGAAAGGUGGACGAAAGGGAGACACCGUGGAAGACACGAAAGGAGAGUGGGUUGGACAGAAAGAGGGAGGGAGCGCUAGUUCUACAUAAAAAUACAUAAAAAGACAAUGAUUUUUAAAGUGUACUGAGAUCUAUUAUGAUUAAAACCUUGAGUAAUGUUAUCAAAACCUUCUAUACUUCAUCACGAAGGCCACGAAAACUACACAAGGACGGACGCAGAGCCGAGAGGAGGGAGGGAGUGAGGGAGGGGCGGAGGGCGGUAGUAUUUAAGAUGAGGCGUUGGUGCUGUUGCUAAACUAUACGUACAUCCAUUGUACUUUUAAAACCAUAAAUCAUACUAUUACAACACUAACUUUCAUCACAAACCAUCAAGACUUAAAAAAAAUUACAUACAAGGUUAAAAUAAUGCAGGAAAUUAAUGAUGAGGUGGCACCUUCUCACCGUCAGGGAGGUGUAUCACUCCGCCAGCAGCAAACUUGACGUCAUGGGCCAGGGCAUGCAGCGGCGUGCAGUGCGUGGGUAUGGUGACUGUGUGGCCUCUGAUGUAGAGGUGUGUGAGCUGCUGGACGAGAGAAGAGCAAACUAAAAGUAAACAUGGGAUUGCUGCCGCCUCAGGACACUAGGAGCAUUGCGGAAGCGCUGAGGAAGACAUCACAACCCUUGACACAGCGAACACAACUCUGUACUGAGGCUGGCACUGGCUUCUCCCAACACCUCACGUGGUCAUUGCAACAAAAGGAGGAAAUAUCGUCACCAGCUUACGUUCGCGGCCACAAGUGAUCCGCCACUCACACUGAUGCCCACUGCGCUCCACCCCGACCCCGCGACUCGCCUCAGGCUCAUAUCCAGAAACGCUUUGCUCUCUCAUCGCGACUGUUUUUAAGAGGUCACAAAGAUUUGUAGCUGAAAAUUGAAGAGAUAUU